Molecule: long non-coding RNA, 677 nt
Organism: Gadus morhua (Atlantic cod)
Lineage: Eukaryota; Metazoa; Chordata; Actinopteri; Gadiformes; Gadidae
Exons: 2
Source: RefSeq, a predicted model, not a curated record
UCAUUAUGGCAGAUGCUUUAGGGUGCGUCCCAUUUCUACCCCUUACCCCUCCCCCUUACCCCUCCCCCUUGGUUUGAAGGGGUAAGGGUGUCCCAAUUCUCAUUUUGGUUAAGGGGUAGGGCGAAGACAAAAGGCUACGUAGCCCUUGAAACGAAGCGAAAACGUAGCUUGAAACGAAGCUAUCCAAGGACCACACUUCAAAGGGAGGGCUUCGAGGAAAAUCCGGCCGAAAAUGCAUUUUUAGUAGUUGUUAUCAUUCGGACUCAUGAUGUAAAGUUGACUGUAUAUUCAGCUCGAAGUCAUACACGGACAAUGCGAUCUCUGAGCUCGAUAUAAAACAUGACAUAACGGUAAAUAACCGUUGCACUAUACAAGAUUUUAGCGCUCUCUAGUGGCCAACCGAAAUCGCCAAAUAAACAAACAGCAGCGAUGGCUCAAGCGAAGGACACGCACAAAUGGACACCACAGGAGACCAGACGGCUCAUUAAUUUCAGGGGGACCAGGGACAAUGAGUUCCUAAAAUCGGAAAUGAUCGCCAGAAAACAGUGGGAGUGAGUCUUACGUUGUUCAAUCUUUUCAUUCUUGCGUCUGUUUUCUACUUUGGUAUUUCUGUGUUGAGCUCAAUAGCCCACUGAAUGUCUGUGUCAUUAUACCAAUUGCCUAAUGAAUGUAUCAAC